GACGAACGCUGGCGGCGUGCUUAACACAUGCAAGUCGAACGGUGAAAGCGGAGCUUGCUCCGCUGGAUCAGUGGCGAACGGGUGAGUAACACGUGGGCGACCUGCCCCUCACUUCGGGAUAACUCCGGGAAACCGGGGCUAAUACCGGAUAUGACCUCCUUGGGCAUCCUUGGAGGUGGAAAGUUUUUCGGUGAGGGAUGGGCCCGCGGCCUAUCAGCUUGUUGGUGAGGUAGUGGCUCACCAAGGCGACGACGGGUAGCCGGCGUGAGAGGGCGACCGGCCACACUGGGACUGAGACACGGCCCAGAGUCCUACGGGAGGCAGCAGUGGGGAAUAUUGCGCAAUGGGCGAAAGCCUGACGCAGCAACGCCGCGUGCGGGAUGACGGCCUUCGGGUUGUAAACCGCUUUCAGCAGGGAAGAAGCCGCAAGGUGGCGGUACCUGCAGAAGAAGCACCGGCUAACUACGUGCCAGCCGCCGCCGUAA
RNAcentral lists this ribosomal RNA (485 nucleotides) under uncultured bacterium. RNAcentral describes it as "partial 16S ribosomal RNA". It matches the Rfam family "Bacterial small subunit ribosomal RNA", at positions 28 to 523 of the family's 1533-position model. The record is from RNAcentral.